Molecule: non-coding RNA, 114 nt
Filed under: Asanoa hainanensis
Lineage: Bacteria; Bacillati; Actinomycetota; Actinomycetes; Micromonosporales; Micromonosporaceae
Description: SAM-IV sequence
Rfam family: SAM (S-adenosyl methionine) riboswitch aptamer
About the family: SAM-IV is a mRNA element that regulates gene expression via direct sensing of S-adenosylmethionine (SAM or AdoMet). SAM-IV riboswitches share conserved nucleotide positions with the previously described SAM-I riboswitches sequence analysis and molecular recognition experiments suggest that SAM-I and SAM-IV riboswitches share similar ligand binding sites, but have different scaffolds.
Source: Rfam by way of RNAcentral
GGUCAUGAGUGUCAGCGCGUAGCCCCGGCUUGCUGACCGGCAACCCUUCAUCGCGAUGGGGUGCCCCGGGUGAGGACCUGGCCGACGCCGCCCGGUGUUCGGCAAGCGCGAGCA